This 434-nucleotide ribosomal RNA is filed under the name uncultured bacterium. RNAcentral describes it as "partial 16S ribosomal RNA". It matches the Rfam family "Bacterial small subunit ribosomal RNA", at positions 29 to 507 of the family's 1533-position model. The record is from RNAcentral.
AGCGAACGCUGGCGGCAGGCCUAACACAUGCAAGUCGAACGAACCUUUCGGGGUUAGUGGCGGACGGGUGAGUCACACGUGGGAACGUGCCUUUAGGUUCGGAAUAACUCAGGGAAACUUGUGCUAAUACCGAAUGUGCCCUUCGGGGGAAAGAUUUAUCGCCUUUAGAGCGGCCCGCGUCUGAUUAGCUAGUUGGUUGAGGUAAUGGCUCACCAAGGCGACGAUCAGUAGCUGGUCUGAGAGGAUGAUCAGCCACAUUGGGACUGAGACACGGCCGAAACUCCUACGGGAGGCAGCAGUGGGGAAUCUUGCGCAAUGGGCGAAAGCCUGACGCAGCCAUGCCGCGUGAAUGAUGAAGGUCUUAGGAUUGUAAAAUUCUUUCACCGGGGACGAUAAUGACGGUACCCGGAGAAGAAGCCCCGGCUAACUUCGUG